This 248-nucleotide long non-coding RNA is filed under the name Elaeis guineensis (African oil palm). RNAcentral describes it as "long non-coding RNA (EGUI_LNC022063)". Lineage: Eukaryota; Viridiplantae; Streptophyta; Magnoliopsida; Arecales; Arecaceae. The record is from RNAcentral.
CCUCACCAAACUCCUUCGGCUAUCAUCCUCUCUCAGAGUCUAAUCGAGUCCUCUUCGACUACCAACUUCUCUCUGGAUCUCACCAAAUAUGCGCUAGAACCUUACACAACAAUUCCUCUCCCCAGCGAUAUUUUUUUUUAACACUCUGGGGGCCUGUCAGGUUUCAAAUCUGCAACCUCACUUUGAUACCACAUGUUAGGACCGUAGCCCCUAACCAACUUUUCAAAAGAUAAAUGCCCAUUGGGAGG